UACGUAGGGUGCGAGCGUUGUCCGGAAUUAUUGGGCGUAAAGAGCUUGUAGGCGGUUUGUCGCGUCUGCUGUGAAAUCUCAAGGCUCAACCUUGAGCUUGCAGUGGGUACGGGCAGACUAGAGUGUGGUAGGGGAGACUGGAAUUCCUGGUGUAGCGGUGAAAUGCGCAGAUAUCAGGAGGAACACCGAUGGCGAAGGCAGGUCUCUGGGCCAAUACUGACGCUGAGAAGCGAAAGCAUGGGGAGCGAACAGG
This 253-nucleotide ribosomal RNA is filed under the name uncultured bacterium. RNAcentral describes it as "partial 16S ribosomal RNA". It matches the Rfam family "Bacterial small subunit ribosomal RNA", at positions 524 to 776 of the family's 1533-position model. The record is from RNAcentral.